UUGAAUGAUGUGGGAACAGGUGCGGGGGUUUUACGAUCUCUGCUUAAAAGGGAAGUCCGGUGAAAUACCGGCGCGGUCCCGCCACUGUAACGGAAGAGUUUAGGGCUUUGACAUGUCACUGAUCCGAUGGAUCGGGAAGACGGCCUCAAGACGAUGACCCGGAAGCCAGGAGACCUGCCUGUUCUGACAACACUGC
Molecule: non-coding RNA, 196 nt
Filed under: Paenibacillus sp.
Lineage: Bacteria; Bacillati; Bacillota; Bacilli; Caryophanales; Paenibacillaceae
Source: RNAcentral